Molecule: ribosomal RNA, 253 nt
Filed under: uncultured bacterium
Lineage: Bacteria
Description: partial 16S ribosomal RNA
Rfam family: Bacterial small subunit ribosomal RNA
Source: RNAcentral
UACAGAGGGUGCGAACGUUGCUCGGAAUUACUGGGCGUAAAGCGCGUGUAGGCGGUCUGUUAAGUUGGUAGUGAAAUCCCAUGGCUCAACCAUGGAAGUGCUGCCAAAACUGGCAGGCUGGAGUGCCGGAGAGGGUGGCGGAAUUCCCAGUGUAGAGGUGAAAUGCGUAGAGAUUAGGAAGAACACCAGUGGCGAAGGCGACUUACUGGACUGUAACUGACGCUGAGGCAUGAAAGCGUGGGGAGCAAACAGG